GAUGAACGCUGGCGGCGUGCCUAAUACAUGCAAGUCGAGCGAACAGAUGAGGAGCUUGCUCCUCUGACGUUAGCGGCGGACGGGUGAGUAACACGUGGAUAACCUACCUAUAAGACUGGGAUAACUUCGGGAAACCGGAGCUAAUACCGGAUAAUAUAUUGAACCGCAUGGUUCAAUAGUGAAAGACGGUUUUGCUGUCACUUAUAGAUGGAUCCGCGCCGCAUUAGCUAGUUGGUAAGGUAACGGCUUACCAAGGCGACGAUGCGUAGCCGACCUGAGAGGGUGAUCGGCCACACUGGAACUGAGACACAGUCCAGACUCCUACGGGAGGCAGCAGUAGGGAAUCUUCCGCAAUGGGCGAAAGCCUGACGGAGCAACGCCGCGUGAGUGAUGAAGGUCUUCGGAUCGUAAAACUCUGUUAUUAGGGAAGAACAAAUGUGUAAGUAACUAUGCACGUCUUGACGGUACCUAAUCAGAAAGCCACGGCUAACUACGUG
Molecule: ribosomal RNA, 497 nt
Filed under: uncultured bacterium
Lineage: Bacteria
Description: partial 16S ribosomal RNA
Rfam family: Bacterial small subunit ribosomal RNA
Source: RNAcentral